GCCAGGCGCAGUGGCGCACACCUGUAAUCCCAGCGGCUCAGGAGGCUGAGGCAGGAGGAUCACAAGUUCAAAGCGAGAUGCUAAGCAACUCAGCGAGACCCUGUCUCUA
RNAcentral lists this small RNA (109 nucleotides) under Marmota monax (woodchuck). The record is from RNAcentral. Lineage: Eukaryota; Metazoa; Chordata; Mammalia; Rodentia; Sciuridae.